UAGCAGUCGCGGUUAAACCUGAGUUACUCAAUUCAAGCGUUACAGUGCAAAAGGUGGUUAGACAGCCCUCCCUGUUAUUUAAGGGGUAAAUUAGGAAAAAAGAGGAUCGAUCCGGGAAGGGUAGGGGUGCAAUCCGGUUAACCCUCCUGAGGAAAGGGGUGAUUUCUUCUUUAGGCUGAGGCCACGGAACCGGGGAACCGAAGACAUGGAUUUGAGACCCAUUUAUUACCGACGCAAACUUUGCUUUAGGGCAGCUGCUUGGGGACUACGAGCGUGUGCUUAAAACUCAAAGAACUUGGCGGCAAGUUAACUACCUAGGGGAAUAUGCGUCUUAAUCCGAUGAUCCACGUGGAAUCUUACUGUACCUUGAAAAAGAGCAGCCGGUGUAUUGCCGUCGUCAGCUUGUUGUUCAAGCAAGGAGAAACAAGCUUAAUGGAGCUGGCGAUGUUAAUCGACAGGGUCCGUAAAGUCAGGUCGAAAUACUGCCUAUGGUACAAGGGAGCGGGUAUUACAAUUCAAAUUUCGAAAUACGGAGCUUGGAAGAAAUGUGAAACCUCCAGGUGAAGGUGGACUUAGGAGUAAGGGAAGAUUAAUAUGCUCCCCUGAACAUGAAACUAGCUUGUGUACAAACCGCCCGUCGCUCUCGCCGGAAG
This 653-nucleotide ribosomal RNA is filed under the name Chlamys nipponensis (Japanese scallop). RNAcentral's name for it is "partial 12S ribosomal RNA". It matches the Rfam family "Bacterial small subunit ribosomal RNA", at positions 509 to 1410 of the family's 1533-position model. Lineage: Eukaryota; Metazoa; Mollusca; Bivalvia; Pectinida; Pectinidae. The record is from RNAcentral.